CUGGUGCUUUCGAUAAUAUUGUUCUUUUGAGAGCCAUGCCCUCUGGAAAAUAAAUAAACGUUCCUUCGUAAAAUGAAAAAUAAAUAAAUACCCGAAGCCCCAAUUACAGCAUUUCCUUAGAUCCUUUUGAACGUUCCUGAGAUCUUCAACCGGGAGAUCUCUAUACUCGGCUCAAUCUUGCCUUUCCUUCUGUAAGUAUUAAUCUCUUCCCAAUUGCAAAUCAUUGCAUUUCAAAGCCCUAGGUGCCUGUAAUUUCUUAGCUGGAUUUCUUUAAAAUUAUUAGCUAUAUCUCUGAUUUAAUUCUUAUAUAAUCAUGAAUUCUUAGGGCUUUAGAUCUUUUAUUCUAUAAGGCUUUGAAUCUCUUUUCCUUUAGAUCCUUCUUUUGGCGUAUAAGGAGACCGAGAUUGAAUGAUGUUCUAGUAUGCGUUUUUGGGAUUUAAAUUUUUAGAUUUCUUGUAUUUCAUCAAUUUUAUGUCUGAACUGCGAUCUCAUUGGCAGAAGUCCAAGAUUUUUACGUGUUCUUGUGAAUUUGUAUUAGUAAUUAUCAACUUUAGCAAAUGAUAUAAUUUUGCUCGAUAAAUAUUUUUUCAUUUGUCUUUCGGUUCCAGUACUAAUUUCAGGUGAGGAAAGUAUUAAUUUUUUGGCUAGAUUUCAGCAACAAGAGCCUUUAUGUGUAAUUCUUAGAAUGAUUGCUCAUGUUCUAUCUAGCGCGAUCAUAUGGGACCAAUCAGUUGCAAUGAUUAAGAAUUUCAGUGGUUAAUACUGUUAUGUUUACACCCUGACAAUCUUUUGAUGUUAAAGCACCUAUCUUCUAUUUGACAAAAUACUUAACUAAUGUUUUUUAAAUUGUAUAUAUGCUAUAAUCUAGAGAAUAAAUUUAAUGUAAAAGCCUCCUGAAUCCUGAGAUGUAAUCAGGUUGCGUUUUAGAAAAUUCGGGUCCUGACUUGUUAUUUUUUAUCAAUCUGGCAAUUUUUUUUGCAUGCCAGGUGCAUAUUUUGCUUCUUAGAGUCAUGAGCCACAAAUAUUCAUUAUGGUUCUUUUUCCCCCACUCUUAN
This 1055-nucleotide long non-coding RNA is filed under the name Olea europaea subsp. europaea. Lineage: Eukaryota; Viridiplantae; Streptophyta; Magnoliopsida; Lamiales; Oleaceae. The record is from RNAcentral.